GAAUAGCUCAGUUGGUAGAGUCGCGGUCUCCAAAACCGUUGGUCGUGGGUUCGAGUCCUACUUCG
Molecule: transfer RNA, 65 nt
Filed under: human gut metagenome
Rfam family: tRNA
About the family: Transfer RNA (tRNA) molecules are approximately 80 nucleotides in length. Their secondary structure includes four short double-helical elements and three loops (D, anti-codon, and T loops).
Source: RNAcentral